RNAcentral lists this ribosomal RNA (372 nucleotides) under uncultured organism. RNAcentral's name for it is "bacterial SSU rRNA". It matches the Rfam family "Bacterial small subunit ribosomal RNA", at positions 526 to 896 of the family's 1533-position model. The record is from RNAcentral.
CGAAGGGUGCAAACGUUGCUCGGAAUCAUUGGGCGUAAAGCGCACGUAGGCGGCGAUCUAAGUCGGAUGUGAAAUCCCUCGGCUCAACCGAGGACGUGCAUCCGAAACUGGAUUGCUCGAGUAUGGAAGAGGGUCGCGGAAUUCUCGGUGUAGAGGUGAAAUUCGUAGAUAUCGGGAGGAACACCAGUGGCGAAGGCGGCGACCUGGGCCAAUACUGACGCUGGGGUGCGAAAGCGUGGGGAGCAAACAGGAUUAGAUACCCUGGUAGUCCACGCCGUAAACGAUGAGUGCUAGAUGCUAUGGGUAUUGACCCCCGUGGUGUCGUAGCUAACGCGUUAAGCACUCCGCCUGGGGAGUACGGCCGCAAGGCUA